GACGAACGCUGGCGGCGUGCCUAAUACAUGCAAGUAGAACGCUGAAGGAGGAGCUUGCUCUUCUGGAUGAGUUGCGAACGGGUGAGUAACGCGUAGGUAACCUGCCUGGUAGCGGGGGAUAACUAUUGGAAACGAUAGCUAAUACCGCAUAACAGUAGAUGUUGCAUGACAUUUACUUAAAAGGUGCAAUUGCAUCACUACCAGAUGGACCUGCGUUGUAUUAGCUAGUUGGUGGGGUAACGGCUCACCAAGGCGACGAUACAUAGCCGACCUGAGAGGGUGAUCGGCCACACUGGGACUGAGACACGGCCCAGACUCCUACGGGAGGCAGCAGUAGGGAAUCUUCGGCAAUGGACGGAAGUCUGACCGAGCAACGCCGCGUGAGUGAAGAAGGUUUUCGGAUCGUAAAGCUCUGUUGUAAGAGAAGAACGAGUGUGAGAGUGGAAAGUUCACACUGUGACGGAAUCUUACCAGAAAGGGACGGCUAACUACGUG
This 495-nucleotide ribosomal RNA is filed under the name uncultured bacterium. RNAcentral's name for it is "partial 16S ribosomal RNA". It matches the Rfam family "Bacterial small subunit ribosomal RNA", at positions 28 to 507 of the family's 1533-position model. The record is from RNAcentral.